RNAcentral lists this ribosomal RNA (107 nucleotides) under Pteropus alecto (black flying fox). Lineage: Eukaryota; Metazoa; Chordata; Mammalia; Chiroptera; Pteropodidae. The record is from RNAcentral.
GUCUACAGCCAUGCCACCCUGAAUGUGCCCAAUCUCGUCUAAUCUCAGAAGCUAAGCAGAGUCGGGCCUGGUUAGUACUUGGAUGGGAAUAGCAGGUGCUGUAAGCA